GAGAAGAAAUUGAACAUAGAAUACGAUCUGAAUAUGAAAGAGAUUUCAACUCUUGAACAAUCAAUGAAGGUGAAGAGAAUUGCUACAGAUGAUUCCAAGAGAAAACUGAGUUUUAAAGGAUGAAGAUUUUGAUGCCAUGGAUUGCCAGCUCAUUGAUGCCAUGGAUCACCAGCUCAUCAAUUCAUGCCAUGGAUCGCCAGCUCAUCAAUCUUCCUCUGCUCCAGAUUCUUCAGCUAACGACUCUCCUCUCGCUCUAGCUUCCUCUGUUCCAGCCUUCUCUGCCUCAGUUACUUCGCUAAGUCUGAUUCUUCCACUAUUAUUAGCUCCUGUGUUUAAUUGCUCUUUUGAUAUCUGUUUUAUCUCUCUAACAUCCCCCCUCAAAUUGGGAAUAGGUAGAGUACAAAUUCCCAAUUUGGUUCUCAUAUAAGAAUGUACACUUCGUGUCAGUGAUUUGGUGAAAAUAUCAGCUAAUU
This is a long non-coding RNA of Eucalyptus grandis, 473 nucleotides long. RefSeq lists it as uncharacterized. NCBI's taxonomy places the organism in Eukaryota, Viridiplantae, Streptophyta, Magnoliopsida, Myrtales, Myrtaceae. The transcript has 3 exons. The record is from RefSeq and is a predicted model, not a curated record.